RNAcentral lists this ribosomal RNA (468 nucleotides) under uncultured bacterium. RNAcentral's name for it is "bacterial SSU rRNA". It matches the Rfam family "Bacterial small subunit ribosomal RNA", at positions 28 to 507 of the family's 1533-position model. The record is from RNAcentral.
GAUGAACGCUGGCGGCGUGCUUAACACAUGCAAGUCGAACGAGCGAGAGAGUAGUUACUUUUUCGAGCGAGUGGCGAACGGGUGAGUAACACGUAAGCAACCUGCCUAUCAGAGGGGAACAACAGUUAGAAAUGACUGCUAAUACCGCAUAUCCGCCUAAGUACCACAUGGUACAAUAGGGAAAGGAGUAAUCCGCUGAUAGAUGGGCUUGCGUCUGAUUAGAUAGUUGGUGGGGUAAUGGCCUACCAAGUCGACGAUCAGUAGCCGGACUGAGAGGUUGAACGGCCACAUUGGGACUGAGAUACGGCCCAGACUCCUACGGGAGGCAGCAGUCGGGAAUAUUGCGCAAUGGAGGAAACUCUGACGCAGUGACGCCGCGUGCAGGAAGAAGGUUUUCGGAUUGUAAACUGCUUUAGACAGGGAAGAAAUAAGACAGUACCUGUAGAAUAAACUCCGGCUAACUACGUG